Molecule: ribosomal RNA, 460 nt
Filed under: uncultured bacterium
Lineage: Bacteria
Description: partial 16S ribosomal RNA
Rfam family: Bacterial small subunit ribosomal RNA
Source: RNAcentral
CCUACGGGUGGCAGCAGUGAGGAAUAUUGGUCAAUGGGCGCGAGCCUGAACCAGCCAAGUAGCGUGAAGGAUGACUGCCCUACGGUUUGUAAACUUCUUUUAUAAAGGAAUAACGUGUGGCACUUGUGCCUUUUUGUAUGUACUUUAUGAAUAAGGAUCGGCUAACUCCGUUCCAGCAGCCGCGGUAAUACUGAGGAUCCGCGCGUUGUCCGGAUUUAUUGGGGUUAAAGGGAGCGUAGAUGGGUUGUUAAGUCAGUUGUGAAAGUUCGCGGCUCAACCGUAGAAUUGCAUUUGAUACUGGCAGUCUUGAGUACAGUUGAGGUAGGCGGAAUUCGUGGUGUAGCGGUGAAAUGCUUAGAUAUCACGAAGAACUCCGAUUGCGAAGGCAGCCUACUGAACUGCAACUGACGUUGAGGCUCGAAAGUGUGGGUAUCAAACAGGAUUAGAUACCCUGGUAGUC